Molecule: ribosomal RNA, 497 nt
Filed under: uncultured bacterium
Lineage: Bacteria
Description: partial 16S ribosomal RNA
Rfam family: Bacterial small subunit ribosomal RNA
Source: RNAcentral
GAUGAACGCUGGCGGCGUGCCUAAUACAUGCAAGUCGAGCGAACGGACGAGAAGCUUGCUUUUCUGAUGUUAGCGGCGGACGGGUGAGUAACACGUGGAUAACCUACCUAUAAGACUGGGAUAACUUCGGGAAACCGGAGCUAAUACCGGAUAAUAUUUUGAACCACAUGGUUCAAAAGUGAAAGACGGUCUUGCUGUCACUUAUAGAUGGAUCCGCGCUGCAUUAGCUAGUUGGUAAGGUAACGGCUUACCAAGGCAACGAUGCAUAGCCGACCUGAGAGGGUGAUCGGCCACACUGGAACUGAGACACGGUCCAGACUCCUACGGGAGGCAGCAGUAGGGAAUCUUCCGCAAUGGGCGAAAGCCUGACGGAGCAACGCCGCGUGAGUGAUGAAGGUCUUCGGAUCGUAAAACUCUGUUAUUAGGGAAGAACAUAUGUGUAAGUAACUGUGCACAUCUUGACGGUACCUAAUCAGAAAGCCACGGCUAACUACGUG